This is a non-coding RNA of Myotis lucifugus (little brown bat), 76 nucleotides long. The record is from Rfam. Lineage: Eukaryota; Metazoa; Chordata; Mammalia; Chiroptera; Vespertilionidae.
CAGGGGGAGGGGGAGGAUCCCUUAGCUUGGAUUGUGAGAGGGCGCAGGCCAGGCCAAGGGACCCCACUGGUGCACG